UGCUCUGACCUCUGUAAAAGUCUCCUGUGUUUCCACAUUUCUUCCUUGGGAGAGCUAAUUCUGCUUCCCCGGUGUAUGAAUUUAAGGACACAACUUUCCGUAAGAAAUAAUUGCUUCAUACACAUCCCAUCCAGCAUUGGAGGCUGACCUCAAGUCCCUAAUUCUUGAUGAAGUCUUUCUGAUGAUAAAGCCCAUCAUGCCCCCUGCUUCCUCUGGCUACCACCACCAAGCAGACUGCCCGAUGCUACUGUGUAUUGAUCGAUGUGUUUCUGUUCCAGUUCCAACAACUCCUCACUAGACAAUUCCUCGGGAACCACCUCUAGGAGCUCCUCAAUGUCUUCCUCAUCCACACCCAGGUUGAAGUUGUUUGCCAUCUCAGUCACAGCCUUGUUGAUUUCUGCAACCUCCUCAUCCUUGGCAAAUCCUUUGAAGUUAUGGAUGAACCUCUUGAGUGUCUUCUUCCACAUGCCAUUCGUACACUCCUUGGUGACAUCACCCCAAGCCCAAGCAAGGUUCUUGAUGCAGUCAUAGAUGUUGUAAUCCUUCCAGAAUUGCAUCAGUGUCUCCCCAGGGUCUUCCUCAGUUGCAGCAGUAGCCUCGGUAAAGGUCCUCCUCAGGUAGUAAGCCUUAAAAGCUGUUAUAAUUCCUUAAUUCAUUGGUUGGAUCAAAGAGGUGGUGUUUGGAGAGAGAAACACCACUUUGAUAUUGGGAUGAAGAUCACCCAUAAAAAGAGGAUGAAUGGGAGCAUUAUCAGUCAUAAGCAAAAUCUUGAAGCAUAUGUUAUUCUCCAAGCAGUAUUUCUCCAUUUCUCUGGCAUAGCAAUUUGGGAGGCAUCUUGGAAAAGGAGCUGGGUCAUCCUUGACUUCUUAUUGCUGCUGUAGUACACUGGCAGUGUGUGCUUCCUGAUGUACUUGAGGGCCCUGGGGUUCUCACUGUACCAGAUCACAAAGGGUUUCAAUUUGUAGCCUGCAACAUUGCUCCCAAGCAAGACUGUCACCCUGUCCUUAGAACCCUUGAAACCUGGCAUUGACUUGGCAUCCUUAUGGAUAUAAGUCGUCUCAGACAUUUGUUUCCACAAUAGGGAAAUUUCAUCCAUAUUAAAGAUUUAUCUUUUUUUA
Long non-coding RNA from Cynocephalus volans (Philippine flying lemur), 1118 nucleotides. RefSeq lists it as uncharacterized. Lineage: Eukaryota; Metazoa; Chordata; Mammalia; Dermoptera; Cynocephalidae. The record is from RefSeq and is a predicted model, not a curated record. The transcript has 3 exons.